AUUGAACGCUGGCGGCAUGCCUUACACAUGCAAGUCGAACGGUAACGCGGGGCAACCUGGCGACGAGUGGCGAACGGGUGAGUAAUGCAUCGGAACGUGCCCAGUAGUGGGGGAUAGCCCGGCGAAAGCCGGAUUAAUACCGCAUACGACCUACGGGUGAAAGCGGGGGACUCGCAAGAGCCUCGCGCUAUUGGAGCGGCCGAUGCCAGAUUAGCUAGUUGGUGGGGUAAAGCCUACCAAGGCGACGAUCUGUAGCUGGUCUGAGAGGACGACCAGCCACACUGGGACUGAGACACGGCCCAG
RNAcentral lists this ribosomal RNA (303 nucleotides) under uncultured bacterium. Its description in RNAcentral is "bacterial SSU rRNA". It matches the Rfam family "Bacterial small subunit ribosomal RNA", at positions 29 to 334 of the family's 1533-position model. The record is from RNAcentral.